UGGGGAAUAUUGCACAAUGGAGGGAACUCUGAUGCAGCGACGCCGCGUGAACGAAGAAGGCUUUCGAGUCGUAAAGUUCUUUUAUAUGGGAAGAUAAUGACGGUACCAUAAGAAGAAGCCCCGGCUAACUACGUGCCAGCAGCCGCGGUAAUACGUAGGGGGCUAGCGUUGACCGGAAUCACUGGGCGUAAAGGGUUCGCAGGCGGAAAUGCAAGUCAGGUGUAAAAGGCAGUAGCUUAACUACUGUAAGCAUUUGAAACUGCAUAUCUUGAGAAGAGUAGAGGUAAGUGGAAUUUUUAGUGUAGCGGUGAAAUGCGUAGAUAUUAAAAAGAAUACCGGUGGCGAAGGCGACUUACUGGGCUCAUUCUGACGCUGAGGAACGAAAGCGUGGGUAGCAAACAGG
Molecule: ribosomal RNA, 403 nt
Filed under: bacterium
Lineage: Bacteria
Description: partial 16S ribosomal RNA
Rfam family: Bacterial small subunit ribosomal RNA
Source: RNAcentral